Molecule: ribosomal RNA, 244 nt
Filed under: uncultured Actinomycetales bacterium
Lineage: Bacteria; Bacillati; Actinomycetota; Actinomycetes; Actinomycetales
Description: partial 16S ribosomal RNA
Rfam family: Bacterial small subunit ribosomal RNA
Source: RNAcentral
GCUCGAGUGGCGAACGGGUGAGUAACACGUGAGUAACCUGCCCUUGACUUUGGGAUAACUUCAGGAAACUGGGGCUAAUACCGGAUAGGAGCUCCUGCUGCAUGGUGGGGGUUGGAAAGUUUCGGCGGUUGGGGAUGGACUCGCGGCUUAUCAGCUUGUUGGUGGGGUAGUGGCUUACCAAGGCUUUGACGGGUAGCCGGCCUGAGAGGGUGACCGGCCAUAUUGGGACUGAGAUACGGCCCAG